Molecule: transfer RNA, 87 nt
Filed under: Bacteroidales bacterium
Lineage: Bacteria; Pseudomonadati; Bacteroidota; Bacteroidia; Bacteroidales
Description: tRNA-Ser
Rfam family: tRNA
About the family: Transfer RNA (tRNA) molecules are approximately 80 nucleotides in length. Their secondary structure includes four short double-helical elements and three loops (D, anti-codon, and T loops).
Source: RNAcentral
GGAGAGGUGCUCGAGUGGUUGAAGAGGCACGCCUGGAAAGCGUGUAAGCGUGAAAACGUUUCGAGAGUUCGAAUCUCUUCCUCUCCG